This 253-nucleotide ribosomal RNA is filed under the name uncultured bacterium. Its description in RNAcentral is "partial 16S ribosomal RNA". It matches the Rfam family "Bacterial small subunit ribosomal RNA", at positions 524 to 776 of the family's 1533-position model. The record is from RNAcentral.
UACGUAGGGGGCGAGCGUUGUCCGGAUUUAUUGGGCGUAAAGAGCGUGUAGGCGGCCAGGUAGGUCUGCUGUGAAAACUCGAGGCUCAACCUCGAGACGUCGGCGGAAACCAUCUGGCUAGAGUCCGGAAGAGGAGAGUGGAAUUCCUGGUGUAGCGGUGAAUUGCGCAGAUAUCAGGAAGAACACCCGUGGCGAAGGCGGCUCUCUGGGACGGUACUGACGCUGAGACGCGAAAGCGUGGGGAGCGAACAGG